GCCCAGAUAGCUCAGUCGGUAGAGCAAAGGACUGAAAAUCCUUGUGUCGGUGGUUCGAUUCCGCCUCUGGGCA
RNAcentral lists this transfer RNA (73 nucleotides) under Hyalomma marginatum. It matches the Rfam family "tRNA". From Rfam's summary of the family: Transfer RNA (tRNA) molecules are approximately 80 nucleotides in length. RNAcentral also lists the same sequence under 2 other names. The record is from Rfam by way of RNAcentral. Lineage: Eukaryota; Metazoa; Arthropoda; Arachnida; Ixodida; Ixodidae.